Molecule: ribosomal RNA, 597 nt
Filed under: uncultured beta proteobacterium
Lineage: Bacteria; Pseudomonadati; Pseudomonadota; Betaproteobacteria
Description: bacterial SSU rRNA
Rfam family: Bacterial small subunit ribosomal RNA
Source: RNAcentral
CAAGUCGAACGGGGUGGUGGGGCAACCUGCCAUUCAGUGGCGAACGGGUGAGUAAUGCAUCGGAACGUGUCCCGCAGUGGGGGAUAACGCCGCGAAAGCGGCGCUAAUACCGCAUACGCUCUGCGGAGGAAAGCGGGGGCCCGGAAACGGCCUCGUGCUAUGGGGGCGGCCGAUGUCCGAUUAGGUAGUUGGUGGGGUAAUGACCUACCAAGCCGACGAUCGGUAGCUGGUCUGAGAGGAUGAUCAGCCACACUGGGACUGAGACACGGCCCAGACUCCUACGGGAGGCAGCAGUGGGGAAUUUUGGACAAUGGGCGCAAGCCUGAUCCAGCCAUGCCGCGUGCGGGAAGAAGGCCUUCGGGUUGUAAACCGCUUUUAGCCGGGACGAAAGCGCCACGGAUAACACCCGUGGCGGUUGACGGUACCGGCGGAAUAAGCACCGGCUAACUACGUGCCAGCAGCCGCGGUAAUACGUAGGGUGCGAGCGUUAAUCGGAAUUACUGGGCGUAAAGCGUGCGCAGGCGGUUCGUUGUGUCGGCGGUGAAAGCCCCGGGCUCAACCUGGGAAUGGCCGUUGAAACUGGCGAACUGGAGUGUG